GUAGGUGGCAAGCGUUGUCCGGAAUUAUUGGGCGUAAAGCGCGCGCAGGCGGUUUUUUAAGUCUGAUGUGAAAGCCCACGGCUCAACCGUGGAGGGUCAUUGGAAACUGGAGAACUUGAGUACAGAAGAGGAAAGCGGAAUUCCACGUGUAGCGGUGAAAUGCGUAGAGAUGUGGAGGAACACCAGUGGCGAAGGCGGCUUUCUGGUCUGUAACUGACGCUGAGGCGCGAAAGCGUGGGGAGCAAACAGGGAUUAGAUACCCUGGUAGUCCACGCCGUAAACGAUGAGUGCUAAGUGUUAGGGGGUUUCCGCCCCCUUAGUGCUGCAGCUAACGCAUUAAGCACUCCGCCUGGGGAUACGGCCGCAAGGCUG
This 372-nucleotide ribosomal RNA is filed under the name uncultured organism. RNAcentral's name for it is "partial 16S ribosomal RNA". It matches the Rfam family "Bacterial small subunit ribosomal RNA", at positions 527 to 896 of the family's 1533-position model. The record is from RNAcentral.